CACGCCGUAAACGAUGAGUGCUAGGUGUUGGGGGUCAAACCUCGGUGCCGCAGUUAACGCAUUAAGCACUCCGCCUGGGGAGUACGUUCGCAAGAAUAAAACUCAAAGGAAUUGACGGGGACCCGCACAAGCAGCGGAGCAUGUGGUUUAAUUCGAAGCAACGCGAAGAACCUUACCUGGAUUUGACAUCCCUCUGACCGUUUUUUAACCAAGACUUUCCCUUCGGGGACAGAGGAGACAGGUGG
RNAcentral lists this ribosomal RNA (245 nucleotides) under uncultured Clostridiaceae bacterium. Its description in RNAcentral is "partial 16S ribosomal RNA". It matches the Rfam family "Bacterial small subunit ribosomal RNA", at positions 796 to 1041 of the family's 1533-position model. Lineage: Bacteria; Bacillati; Bacillota; Clostridia; Eubacteriales; Clostridiaceae. The record is from RNAcentral.